RNAcentral lists this long non-coding RNA (455 nucleotides) under Lathyrus oleraceus (garden pea). Its description in RNAcentral is "Pisum sativum (pea) long non-coding RNA (PSAT_LNC036912)". The record is from RNAcentral. Lineage: Eukaryota; Viridiplantae; Streptophyta; Magnoliopsida; Fabales; Fabaceae.
CGGAAUCCCACACCAACGCGAGCACUCAGUACAUCUCAGUCGAUUCCUCAUCACGAUUCGGUGAAAUCUUGGAAGAGCAAGAAAUUGGAGCCACGGGAGCACGAAUCGAAGCGCCUCCACAUCAGAAUCAGUAAGACUUUUCUCUACUUCGCGUUUAAUCCGAUUUUUUGAUAUCGUGGCAACCCGGCGUCGGGGAUUGGUUUGUGGAAUACGUAGUCACGGCGGUGGAGGAGAGUAGAAGCGGAGAGCAUCACGGAGGUUCGAGUCUCCGUCGCCGGUGACGAGACUCAGCGCGGCCGGAUUCGCCGUCGCUACCAGAUCUUCAUCUUAGUGAAGAUGUUGAAUGCAUGCACUCCGUCGCCGGUGACGAGACUCAGCGCGGCCGGAUUCGCCGUCGCUACCAGAUCUUCAUCUUAGUGAAGAUGUUGAAUGCAUGCGAUAGGAUUAGGGUAUCU